GUGUAAGCGAAGCUUUUAGUGGAGCGGUGAAAGGCUCAGUAACGGGCGAUUUAUUUGUUCUCCUGUGACGGACAACAUCGGGAAACUGAUGGGAAAACGUCUAAGUUGCAGUUAAUUGAUUGUGACGUAAACGAAUUUGUGCAGGAGAGUAAGAUGCCAUCCUAUCAGUUAGUAAGUAGGGUAAGGGCCUACUUAGACGAAGACGGGUACGGGGAAUGAGGGUUUGAUUCCGGAGAGGGAGCCUGAGAGAUGGCUACCAGGACCAAGGUCAGCAGCAGGCGCGAAAAUUAUCGAAGCCCGCCUAGGGGCGAUAGUGAGGAGACGUGUAUAACGAAGUACGUGUAAAGAACGUGCUAAUAACUGGAGGUCAAGUCUGGUGCCAGCAUCCGCGGUAAUUCCAGCUCCAGGGGUGUCUAUGAUGAUUGCUGCGAUUAAAAAGUCCGUAGUCAAUCUGACUGACUGGCCUGCAAUGUGAUUGAUUAAAGAACGAGCAGGGUUAGGAAAGCAGAGAAUUAGGAGCGACCGAGGGCUAGAGUAUUGAAUGGCGAGAGGUGAAAUUUGAUGACCCAUUCAGGAGUGACAAAGGCGAAGGCACUAGUCAAGGGCGAAUCCGAUGAUCAAGGACGUAGGCUAGAGUUUCGAAAACGAUUAGAGACCGGAGUAGUUCUAGCAGUAAACUAUGCCGACGCCGUGGUAUCAACUUGGUAUUGCGGAAGAGAAAUCAAGUAAGGCUUUGGGGAGAGUACGCGCGCAAGCGAUAAAUUUAAAGGAAAUUGACGGAGGAACACCACAAGGAGUGGAGUGUGCGGC
Molecule: ribosomal RNA, 810 nt
Filed under: Dictyocoela duebenum (nom. nud.)
Lineage: Eukaryota; Fungi; Microsporidia
Description: Dictyocoela duebenum partial small subunit ribosomal RNA
Rfam family: Microsporidia small subunit ribosomal RNA
Source: RNAcentral